UUCUUAUUAAGAGCGACGGAGGUUCAAGGGCCUGUGAAGUCGCGGCAACCCCAGAGAUGGAAGGUGCCGGCCGGAGCCGCAAAAAAGCGGAGCAAUAAGAA
RNAcentral lists this non-coding RNA (101 nucleotides) under Anaerostipes sp. 992a. RNAcentral's name for it is "SAM riboswitch aptamer (S box leader)". It matches the Rfam family "SAM riboswitch aptamer (S box leader)". Rfam says of the family: The SAM riboswitch is found upstream of a number of genes which code for proteins involved in methionine or cysteine biosynthesis in Gram-positive bacteria. The SAM riboswitch acts at the level of transcription termination control. The predicted structure consists of a complex stem-loop region followed by a single stem loop terminator region. Lineage: Bacteria; Bacillati; Bacillota; Clostridia; Lachnospirales; Lachnospiraceae. The record is from Rfam by way of RNAcentral. RNAcentral also lists the same sequence under 1 other name.